UGGUUGUUUGUUUUAUACUUCAUACUAUAUAUUAUGCACACAUAAAAGAACGGAUAGUACGAGAUCACUACAACAAAACUGUUGUUUAGCUUCAAAAUUUUUAGCGUCUGCCCUGACAUGGACGCUACUAGCGUCUCAUUUGAGUCUGCAUGACAGAUGCUACUGUGUUUUUAUUUUAAAUUUAAAUUUUAAUUGAUUAAUUAAAUAUAGAGUCUGCCUUUUGGGACACUAUGAGACGCUACGGAAAAAAGAAGAAAUUCAUAACCUUAGCUAUGUGAAUUUCUUUAAUUUGGAAUCUAUUAAAUUGGUGGAUUUAAAGUUUUCCUAGAUUCAUAGGCAAAUUUUUUGUUGCAUGUCAAAGUUAAUCUUGUUCCCUUAUUAUAACAUUUAUGUUUUUGCCUUUCAUUUAUGUCUUUAACACUUCACUUUAUCUGUGAUUAUAAUGAGUAUAUUAUUUUAUGUCGUUG
RNAcentral lists this long non-coding RNA (467 nucleotides) under Trifolium pratense (red clover). Its description in RNAcentral is "long non-coding RNA (TPRA_LNC012693)". The record is from RNAcentral. Lineage: Eukaryota; Viridiplantae; Streptophyta; Magnoliopsida; Fabales; Fabaceae.